CUUUCUGUAAGUCAGCCAUUACAGAGUAAUAUUAUACACUUAAAACCAGUAUAUCCAUAUUUCUGAUAUUUUCCUAAUGGAAAAGAGGAAAGAAAAAAUAGAUUUCUUAUUUUUCAGGCUUGCUGGUAUGUGUGAAAAAUGAAUGGACUGGCCAGAUUAUAAGGUUAAAGACACUUCCCACUGACUUUAUUUACCUCAUUCUCCUCUUAUCUUUACCUCCUCCCAUUUUUCUUUUUCUCCUCAUUGCUGUCUUCUUUUAAUUUUACCAGUUGCAUUUCUUCUUCCUCUUCUUGUAUAUAUUUUCUGCAGCCAGCUGAGAAUAGAAACCAUGCCAAAUGUGACAGCAUGGACUGUCACAUCAUUGGAGAACCCUAUGCAAAUAGCUGGAUCUACUUAAUUAACCAAUUAAGAUGUUGCUGGGGGUCUGAGGCUCACAAAUGUCAGUGAGAGGGAAAAGACAACAGAGAACCUCAUGAAACUGAGUUACUGUUAAGGGAAAGGAGUUCCAAAGGGGAAGAAGGAGAGAAAAUAUCUUGCUUGGGGAGAGUGGUACACAGAGUAGAGCACUCCUGGAAAGACCAGGAAAUUUCCACAGAAGUAAGAGUUUAUGAAAGAAAUGGAAGUGAAAGAAAUAAUGACAUUGAAAUAAUGAUAAAAUAAAUAUUAAUACACCCCUUUUUAGGAACUGUUACAUCCUUCAGUUUCUUUCAUUCCUUACCUCCACCACUACUUCUUUGGUAUUGGUCAGAUGACUGUGAAACAGUCCUUCCAGAUCAUUUCCUUACUGAUAUGAGAGGUGGGGUGGUCGUGGGGAUCAGGCAGGAACAUGAGCCAGUAAACAGGAAUGAUUGCAGUUUCUGAAAUCAGCAGGGAAGCUAGAUCUCUUUCUAAGAGAAUAUUGUCCACUCCAUGUGAGGGUGUAAGAGGAAAAGGGAGGGGAUAAGAAGAGAAACUGGCAAUUCCUGAAUCUCAUUUUGUUUGGAGAAUACUAUCCUCAAGAAUCAAGGUAUCUGUUCUCCGUUUGUUUUUUUCAUGCAGUUUGUGGAAGACUAAGACAAUGAUGGAAGAGAAAGAGAGGCCCAAUAUGAGGCCAUUCAAUACCUGAUGAGAUCACUUGAAGUCAAGUGAUUUUUUUUUUAGGGGAGGGCCUUGUAUGAGCGCUUAAAACAGGUAUAGGUAGACAAGGUUUGUUGGGUAAAUGUGAUCUCUUUUAUUAGACCAGCUAAAUAGUUGGAAAAAUUCCUGUUUACAAGCUUUUGAG
Long non-coding RNA from Gavialis gangeticus (Gharial), 1261 nucleotides. RefSeq lists it as uncharacterized. The record is from RefSeq and is a predicted model, not a curated record. The transcript is spliced from 3 exons. Lineage: Eukaryota; Metazoa; Chordata; Crocodylia; Gavialidae.